GCAAGUCAAACCUUUUAUUCAUAAACAAGAGUUUGUUACAAGAAAUAAGAUAAGAACUCUCUUGAACUACACUCCAAAACUUGCAUAACUCUAACGGUUCACAUCCUCUACUACUUAUAACUUGAAAAGGACAUAAAGCCACACGACAGGCCAUGUGCUCCUGCCUUCGCACGUGUAACAGAUCCUCCUCCUCUCCAAGCUUUAUUCUUCACAUGCUUACUACUAGAACUCUCGCACCAG
Molecule: long non-coding RNA, 240 nt
Filed under: Brassica napus (rape)
Lineage: Eukaryota; Viridiplantae; Streptophyta; Magnoliopsida; Brassicales; Brassicaceae
Description: long non-coding RNA (BNAP_LNC019918)
Source: RNAcentral